GACGAACGCUGGCGGCGUGCUUAACACAUGCAAGUCGAACGGAAAGGCCCCUUUGGGGGUACUCGAGUGGCGAACGGGUGAGUAACAGGUGAGUAACCUGCCCUUGACUUCGGGAUAACUUCAGGAAACUGGGGCUAAUACCGGAUAGGAAUCCUUGCUGCAUGGUGGGGGUUGGAAAGCUUCGGCGGUUUUGGAUGGACUCGCGGCUUAUCAGCUUGUUGGUGGGGUAGUGGCUUACCAAGGCUUUGACGGGUAGCCGGCCUGAGAGGGCGACCGGCCACAUUGGGACUGAGAUACGGCCCAGACUCCUACGGGAGGCAGCAGUGGGGAAUAUUGCACAAUGGGCGGAAGCCUGAUGCAGCAACGCCGCGUGCGGGAUGACGGCCUUCGGGUUGUAAACCGCUUUCAGCAGGGGCGAAGCUUGUGGUGACGGUACCUGCAGAAGAAGCACCGGCUAACUACGUG
This 465-nucleotide ribosomal RNA is filed under the name uncultured bacterium. RNAcentral describes it as "partial 16S ribosomal RNA". It matches the Rfam family "Bacterial small subunit ribosomal RNA", at positions 28 to 507 of the family's 1533-position model. The record is from RNAcentral.